RNAcentral lists this ribosomal RNA (735 nucleotides) under uncultured bacterium. Its description in RNAcentral is "bacterial SSU rRNA". It matches the Rfam family "Bacterial small subunit ribosomal RNA", at positions 28 to 776 of the family's 1533-position model. The record is from RNAcentral.
GACGAACGCUGGCGGCCCGUCUAACACAUGCAAGUCGAACGAGCGAGAGAGAGCUUGCUCUCUCAAGCGAGUGGCGAACGGGUGAGUAACGCGUGAGGAACCUGCCUCAAAGAGGGGGACAACAGUUGGAAACGACUGCUAAUACCGCAUAAGCCCACAGCUCGGCAUCGAGCAGAGGGAAAAGGAGUGAUCCGCUUUGAGAUGGCCUCGCGUCCGAUUAGCUAGUUGGUGAGGUAACGGCCCACCAAGGCGACGAUCGGUAGCCGGACUGAGAGGUUGAACGGCCACAUUGGGACUGAGACACGGCCCAGACUCCUACGGGAGGCAGCAGUGGGGAAUAUUGCACAAUGGGGGAAACCCUGAUGCAGCGACGCCGCGUGGAGGAAGAAGGUCUUCGGAUUGUAAACUCCUGUUGUUGAGGAAGAUAAUGACGGUACUCAACAAGGAAGUGACGGCUAACUACGUGCCAGCAGCCGCGGUAAAACGUAGGUCACAAGCGUUGUCCGGAAUUACUGGGUGUAAAGGGAGCGCAGGCGGGAAAGCAAGUUGGAAGUGAAAUCCAUGGGCUCAACCCACGAACUGCUUUCAAAACUGUUUUUCUUGAGUAGUGCAGAGGUAGGCGGAAUUCCCGGUGUAGCGGUGGAAUGCGUAGAUAUCGGGAGGAACACCAGUGGCGAAGGCGGCCUACUGGGCACCAACUGACGCUGAGGCUCGAAAGUGUGGGUAGCAAACAGG